This 510-nucleotide long non-coding RNA is filed under the name Glycine max (soybean). RNAcentral describes it as "long non-coding RNA (GMAX_LNC003065)". Lineage: Eukaryota; Viridiplantae; Streptophyta; Magnoliopsida; Fabales; Fabaceae. The record is from RNAcentral.
AGCAAUUUUGCUGGCUACACUAGCAGUGCCCCAAACAAUAACAUGUUGUCAGCACGUUUUAUUGGGCUAUUUAGCUUCUACAAUACAAUGCUGACUGGAACCGCGACGACCACCUUUUCCGCCAAUUCUUUGAGACCGCUCCGUCUCCCAAACAGCCACCAACAAACUCUGCUUCCCAAGGUUGUUGACUUUGGCAACUUUGGGAUGCUUUCAGCUGCUCAACCACGGGAUUCCACUCCACGUGAUCGUAUGUGUCGCCGGCGGAAUCUUCCGUUGGAAUCUUCCAGGUGCUGCCGGAGAAGAAUGAGUUCGUGUGGAGCAGAUCAGAUUUUAGGGAUGCGUUGCUUGCAGGAGGCAAUUUUAGAGACCCACCAAAACUAAUGAAACAAUUUACCUUAUAUAUAUAUAUAUGCCCAUUUUAUUUUAAAGAUCUAUGUUGAAUUAAAAAGAUUUUCUAGUCUCUGUUAUAAUUACUUUAAUAAUUUGAUCAUGUAUGAAAAUGUGAUUGCA